AGGGGUAAACCUGAGAAACCCGAAAGGUCGAAGGGAGAAAUUCAUCGCGUUUCGCGACAGGCGGCGAGAGGUCGUGCGACGGCGGAACAAGUUACGUUCCGACGCGCCCUCAGCUCGUCGAUCCGGUUACGAACGUGUGCACUUUUCUCCUGGUAGGACGUCGCGAUCCGUUGGGUGUCAGUCUACGGCCCGGGGUGGAGCCCGCUCGUCGCUUCGGCGCACGAACGGACCCCCGGAGUCCCGGCUGACUCGCUCGACGGUAUAUUGGAAAGGUUAGAGGCCGCUCUCCAGUGAGCGUUCGACUCGGGGCAAGCGCGUCAGACGUGUCGGCCAUCGGACCUGGUGCCGAUUCCGGCCUCUGGCGACUGUUGGCCGUCGAAGUUCUCGAACAGACCUCGGACCGAUCAGCGACGCUAUAGCUUUGGGUACUUUCAGGACCCGUCUUGAAACACGGACCAAGGAGUCUAGCAUGUACGCGAGUCAUUGGGAAUCACUAAACCUAAAGGCGUAAUGAAAGUGAAGGUCUUCCUUGCGGAGAUCGAGGGAGGACGAGCGGUUUACCGUUAAAAGUGGCCGUUCCGCACUCCCGGGGCGUCUCAUUCUCAUCGCGAGAAGAGGCGCACCAAGAGCGUACACGCUGGGACCCGAAAGAUGGUGAACUAUGCCUGGUCAGGACGAAGUCAGGGGAAACCCUGAUGGAGGUCCGUAGCGAUUCU
RNAcentral lists this ribosomal RNA (716 nucleotides) under Acanthotomicus bicornatus. Its description in RNAcentral is "eukaryotic LSU rRNA". It matches the Rfam family "Eukaryotic large subunit ribosomal RNA", at positions 386 to 887 of the family's 3401-position model. The record is from RNAcentral. Lineage: Eukaryota; Metazoa; Arthropoda; Insecta; Coleoptera; Curculionidae.